UAAACUCCUGUUGUUGAGGAAGAUAAUGACGGUACUCAACAAGGAAGUGACGGCUAACUACGUGCCAGCAGCCGCGGUAAAACGUAGGUCACAAGCGUUGUCCGGAAUUACUGGGUGUAAAGGGAGCGCAGGCGGGAAGACAAGUUGGAAGUGAAAUCCAUGGGCUCAACCCAUGAACUGCUUUCAAAACUGUUUUUCUUGAGUAGUGCAGAGGUAGGCGGAAUUCCCGGUGUAGCGGUGGAAUGCGUAGAUAUCGGGAGGAACACCAGUGGCGAAGGCGGCCUACUGGGCACCAACUGACGCUGAGGCUCGAAAGUGUGGGUAGCAAACAGGAUUAGAUACCCUGGUAGUCCACACUGUAAACGAUGAUUACUAGGUGUUGGAGGAUUGACCCCUUCAGUGCCGCAGUUAACACAAUAAGUAAUCCACCUGGGGAGUACGACCGCAAGGUUGAAACUCAAAGGAAUUGACGGGGGCCCGCACAAGCAGUGGAGUAUGUGGUUUAAUUCGACGCAACGCGAAGAACCUUACCAAGUCUUGACAUCCCUUGACGAUGCUGGAAACAGUAUUUCUCUUCGGAGCAAGGAGACAGGUGGUGCAUGGUUGUCGUCAGCUCGUGUCGUGAGAUGUUGGGUUAAGUCCCGCAACGAGCGCAACCCUUAUGGUCAGUUACUACGCAAGAGGACUCUGGCCGAACUGCCGUUGACAAA
RNAcentral lists this ribosomal RNA (710 nucleotides) under Faecalibacterium prausnitzii. RNAcentral's name for it is "bacterial SSU rRNA". It matches the Rfam family "Bacterial small subunit ribosomal RNA", at positions 426 to 1162 of the family's 1533-position model. The record is from RNAcentral. Lineage: Bacteria; Bacillati; Bacillota; Clostridia; Eubacteriales; Oscillospiraceae.